GAAUGCUUAGUGCUGGUAUCUGACUCAUGGCUCAGUGCUCCAUUAGCUCUUAAACAGGAAUAUAACUAUUUUUGUAAUUCUUUUGUCCAAAGGUAUAGCAGAAAGUCAUCGAGCAUAUAUGAAAACAAAUCCGAGACAUCAAAUGUGGAAGCAUCUAACAAUAAAAACAGGAAUUCCAGUCCCAACGCCAGACAAAAGAGAGGUUGGCCCAGUAGGCAAAUGCCAUCUCUAGACACAUUUGAAGACUUUGAAGCCAUUCCUUCCAGCAUGGAUGAACUCUCCAACUCUUCAGACAUGGAGGAAGAAACCAACCCUAACAAUGGGACCAAUCUUUUUCGAGUAGAAGGCAGUUUUGACAGCUGUUUCCCAGAUUCUCUUACACUUGAGGAUGGAGAUCUAGUGCAGUUUGUGCAGGAAGGAGAAAAUGGGCAAUGGUUAGUGAAGAAAUUGGUCUCGGAGAAAAGUGAGUGGGUUCCUUCCAGUAUAUUGCAGCCAGCAGAGGGGGACACUAACAACAUAAUUAAGAACAGCAAUGCAGACAUGUACAAUGAUUCCUGCAGCACGGCUUCAGUUGAGUCGGACACCAAGGAGAGUGAGGUGGCUAAAAGCUUCCCAGCAGAACAGAGGGCUGGCAGCUGAAUGGCAGGACCAGCCUUCCUCAGGACCCUCUCCAUCCCUUUGUUUAUUUUGGGUUGACACUGGAUCAAAGUUGCCUUUCUCACAAGCUCUGAGCUUCAUAAUUCUCUGAAACUUCAUUAACAUGGACAGAUGAGAGGAAAAACAAACUUGAGAGGAACAUUAAACAUCCAGACAACAUCAAGAACCAUCUUCAGUAUUAGAGGAGAAAAAUGCUUCUUGCAUUGUUUAUCAAACUGUUUCAGAAGAUGUGGCCUAAAUUAGGUCGACAGCAGAGCUGAAGAGUUACUAUGCACGCACCUUUUGGCAACUUUCCUUGAACACCGAGUUACUGCAGAGGGACACAUACAUGGUUCUGAGUUCUUGCUCGACCACGGGUCACUUGGAGGUUUUUCCAUUUGCUUGCCUCAGUAGCUGUGCCUUCCCCACUCUCCUUAAUUACAGCUGAUAGAUCACAAAUGUGCCCUUUUUGCUGAUGGUCAUCACCAAAACUGUCACACUUUAGAUUGGAUGUGGAAAGGAAACUUCUGACUUGGACCGUCAGAGUGGCUUCAAUACAGCAAUGGCACAGUGAACAACCUGUUGCGUUCAGCAUUAGUUUGGGAUAAUGCAGAUGGCAACUUGAUAUAAGGUGGAGAUGCAGGUCUUAGCCAAGAGGCAAAGACAUUGUGACAGCUACUGUGACACAGAGCAUAUUUAACUCUUUUUACAACAUAAGUUAUUCCUCUGCGCCCUCUGCAGUCUGUGGUUGCUGGUUCACAAUCCUUUGCGUUUGGUGCCGAGAAUUCAAAUGAAUGCCAUUUAAUGUCAUAUGUUUGAGUAGACUGCAUGCUUUCUUUUUGUGCUGGGCUAUGGAGUAGCUACAUUUCAUUCCCCAUAUGGAAUAUAUUUAAGCAUCACAAAUAGACAGUGAGCAUUAGGUGCUCCAAUGAAUGGGUAAAGUGUUGUUGUUAAAUACUUUUUUCCAGGACGUUUGGUUAUAGGACUGUACCAAAUCUCUGCCACAUAAGGAUGUAAUGUACUAUAUGAAGUGAUUACAGAUUUUAUUAUUCCAUUACAAGCCAUUAGCUCAUUUAGAGCAGCUGUUAAGGCAUGAAAGCAUUUUGAUGGUAAUUGGGUCUUAGGUCUCACAAAAGCUGCUAGUACUUUAGUUUAGUGUUGACUAAGGGUUGCAAACAAGUAAAGAUCAGACAGAAGAAGUGACCCUAGGAGCUCAAGAAUUGGUGAUUGGCUUUUACUGUUAGAGAUCUUCUGUUUAUCCCUAAGAGUAGUGAUGCUCUAUGUAAAUAAUAAAAGGGACAAGAGCACUAAAAAUGGAGAUGAAGCAAAACCAAAAAUCACUCCUUGGUAAAAUAGCAAAACAGUAAGAGUCUGCACCAUUUCUGUUAUCCUCUUUGCAGGGACCUGAACAUUUUUCUUUGUGUUUCAGUGAAGGCUGGUAUUGCAAAUAUCUUAGUGUGUGAGUCAGGAUAGCUGUGAAGCAAGUAAAUAGUCCCAUUCAAGAAAAAGCCCCAAAGUAAGUAGAUAAAGGUUUAUUCAGAUUAUUAUUAUUAUUAUUAUUUGCCUGUGAAGGAUUACUAGUUAAUUAUUAGUUGCACUGUGGUGGUGAAUUNGCUCCUGUCUACCCUUGCCCUAAGCACAGGAGAGGAAAGGGGAAGGGAGCUUUGAUUGCACAUUAAGUAAGUAUAGUAAGAUUUGUGUGUGAGCAAGAGAGAGAGAUGGGGAAGGGUUACCCUGUGUAUGUGAAACUGCCAAAACUAGUAUUUGUGACAUUACACACUCAUGGAAAGACCCCAACCUGCACUUUGGAGUUUCAAGUGAAGGAAUCUCAUUCUAAUGGUGAAAUAGCAGUGGGAAUUCUGUGUUUGAACUGGAGAUGGAAAAUCAGGUAUUGUGAAUCCUCAUCCUACCUCUGCUGUGUGCAGACUGACAGUGAGAUAUUCCUGUAGUCCUGGUGGCUCAGUAUCUCUGAGUAAAAUGGGAGAUACUGAAUUUCUCUCAUAUCUAAUUCUGAUGCUGAACUCUAAUAUGUAUUCAAAAACUGAAGACCCUUCAGGGGAAAGCAAAGCAUUCACCCCCAUAUGUCCCACUGUGCCCUACAAGAGUGUCAUUGGUGGCAUCCUACGGAGUAGUCUGGAGCUGAAGCAGGGAAGUAGACUGCUACAAAGGUGUCUCGUGUCUCCCAGCACACUGACUCACUGCAAAGGUAUGGGCUGGGUUAUUACAAUUCUCAUUCCUACUUUGCUUUUGAAUUAUUAUUUUUUUCCAAAAUUUCACAUUUUUUCCUGUUUGACCAAAGGUUAAGUCACUCCUACACUAUGAAUGUCCUGAGGAUGGCUAAUAACUCCCUGCCCUGUGGCUGUAUGAAGUACGUGAGAUUUUCAGCAACUUCACAUCCCUGAAAGUAUUCCCUCUGCUCAUUUGGGUUUAGCUGGGCAAUGGACUCCUUCAUUACUGGAGGUAGUGACAAACUGGUAUACAGGCAAUCACCAUGAUGUCAGUCAAGGCCAGAUAGUAACCACGCUUGAUCCUCUCCUUCUUUCACUGCCUAACGCCACUGAAUGGAGAAGCAGACCAAUGGUUGUUGUCUGGGCCUUAAAUGGCUGCAGCCAAACCUUGUCUGGACGUGGGCUUAUGCUGCCAGUCACGACAAAGCUGUGCACGUGGUCUUAUAUUCUGUUUGUGUAUGUAAUGAAAAGCCAUUUUAUUAUCCAUCGUUUUCUUAGUCUCUGAGAUGACAAGCAGGAUUGGGUAUGAAAAAGGCCUUGUUUUUCCUUUCCAAAAAUACUCAAAGCCUGAUUUCUAAUAUAUGUAUCAUUAGAAAUAUUUAAGAAUAAGGAGAAGAAGAAGAGAGCCAAAUUCAGUGUUUCUUCUUGCAGCUAGAGCUGAAAUAGCUGCCAAGAUUUCCUCUCCCCAGCUAAGAAUUGGUACAGUUUGUUUCUUACAUAUUUUCCAUUGUGUUGAUAAUGAUGUAUUUGUAUAUUGUGGCUGACGAGAGAUAAUCAGACAGGGAAAGAGCACAGAAUUACCUGUUCUUUUUUCCAGUCAAGAUGAAUGUAUGAAAUUAUUACAAGAAAAAAAGUGUGCAAAUGAGCUUUCUGUAAUUCUGACCUGUGUAAAACCACACUUUGUUUGAACUUUAUAAAAACUAUAACUAGUACAAAACAUUGUGGUUGAUGUCUCUGUACGAAGCAACAAGUCAAAUGGGAUUUCUUUCUAUUCAGAAGAAAUGAGUAUUGGUAAAGUCCCAUCAACACACCUGACAAAAAAAACAGCCAUGCAUUUAUCCAAUUGAACUUCAUGUGUGAAUCAUAAAAAAUCGGUUGUUUUAAAUUUUCUUUGCCUCUCUCUCUUAUUCAUGUUCCUGAAUCUUUGGGACUGUUAGGAGAGUGCAAAGAUCUACCAAGACGGGUCAGAGUUGUGCGUGCUGACGCUUGGGGUCAUGAGGCAAGGAAGGAUGUAGGAUGAUUUUAUUGCAAAUAUCCCCACAAUAUCUUCAUACCUUUGGCUACCAAUGGCUUAUUGAGGAGGGCUAGUUGGCACAAAUGCGUGUUCUGGAUCAUGUAAGAGGGAGGGAAGUACAAAUGAGAAUGUAGAAACACAAUGGAAAUACAGAGAGCAAAAUAAAUUGGAGCUAGUUUCAGCCAGCAUCCAGAUUUCUAGGAGCAAACUUCACCUCAUCUGAGUUUUCAAGUCAUUGGCCUCACUGUAUUACUGCACUUUAAUAGUGUAUGAGAGAAAGAAGAAUCAGGACCACAAGAGUCACUAGAUUCUUUCCUUCUAUUCUAUGAGUUUAUCAUCUUUUUUCUACUUCCAUUAAGCUUUUAGCUUUAGCAGGCCUCACGGUGAGGACGCGGGGCUGGAAAUCCACCCGCACAAACAUGCA
RNAcentral lists this long non-coding RNA (4522 nucleotides) under Pavo cristatus (Indian peafowl). RNAcentral describes it as "lncRNA (ENSPSTG00000004898.1)". The record is from RNAcentral. Lineage: Eukaryota; Metazoa; Chordata; Aves; Galliformes; Phasianidae.